GACGAACGCUGGCGGCGUGCUUAACACAUGCAAGUCGAACGGAAAGGCCCUGCUUUUGUGUGGUGCUCGAGUGGCGAACGGGUGAGUAACACGUGAGUAACCUGCCCUUGACUUUGGGAUAACUUCAGGAAACUGGGGCUAAUACCGGAUAGGAGCUCCUGCUGCAUGGUGUGGGUUGGAAAGUUUCGGCGGUUGGGGAUGGACUCGCGGCUUAUCAGCUUGUUGGUGGGGUAGUGGCUUACCAAGGCUUUGACGGGUAGCCGGCCUGAGAGGGUGACCGGCCACAUUGGGACUGAGGUAGGGCCCAGACUCCUACGGGAGGCAGAAGUGGGGAAUAUUGCGCAAUGGGCGGGAGCCUGAUGCAGCAACGCCGGGUGCGGGAUGACGGCUUUCGGGUUGUAAACCGCUUUCGCCUGUAACGAAGCGUGAGUGACGGUAAUGGGUAAGGAAGCACCGGCUAACUACGUG
This 468-nucleotide ribosomal RNA is filed under the name uncultured bacterium. RNAcentral's name for it is "partial 16S ribosomal RNA". It matches the Rfam family "Bacterial small subunit ribosomal RNA", at positions 28 to 507 of the family's 1533-position model. The record is from RNAcentral.